This is a long non-coding RNA of Symphalangus syndactylus (siamang), 2970 nucleotides long. RefSeq lists it as uncharacterized. The record is from RefSeq and is a predicted model, not a curated record. NCBI's taxonomy places the organism in Eukaryota, Metazoa, Chordata, Mammalia, Primates, Hylobatidae.
GGCUCCGCGCGGUGCAGGACCUGCAGACGCGGCGGGCUGGGGCGGAGGAGCUCAGUGAUGAUCGACAUUCUAGAUGCAAGUUCUUCUGCUGGGAAGGCUCAUUCCCAGGCCAUCUCACCCCGCAUAGGGGAAAAGAGGACAGAUGCGGUGGGCGCUUAAGAACUUCAUGAGGCCUCAAGGCCAAGGUUGAUUGGCACGGGGUCUGUCAGGCCGUCUGCUACGAAGGAGCCACACAUGCCGGAUGGCUUCUGAGCAUCUAACUAGCAUCCUCGGGGUUUUUUGGUUGACUUUGGACAUCUAGAAACACAAAGUCUAAUCAAUUUAAGAAUGAAAAAUAUGGGCCGGGCGUGGUGGCUCAUGCCUGUAAUCCCAGCACUUUGGGAGGCCGAGGCGCGUGGAUCACGUUGAGGUCAGGAGUUUGAGACCAGCCUGGGCAACAUGGUGAAACUGCACCUCUACUAAAAAUACAAAAAUUAGCCGGGUGUGGUGGCAGGCGCCUGUAAUCCCAGCUACUUGGGAGGCUGAAGCAGGAGAAUCGCUUGAACUCGGGAGGCGGAGGUUGCAGUGAGCUGAGAUCGUGCCACUGUACUCCAGCCUGGCAACAGAGCGAGACUCUGCCUCAAAAAAAAAAAAAAAAAAAAAUAUGACACAGAUAAGGGCAAGUAUUAACAAUUUGAAAUCUAGAACUGAAGAGUGCUUCUAUUUCUGAAGGUAACCAGAUACCUAUUUUGUCCCCUUCUGGUCCUGGCCUGAAGAACAAGAUGUUGAAGUUCUCCAGUGAUGAAAACGUCCUCUCUGGCGAGGCUGCGGGGUGUGGUCUCAUCUAUUGUGGUUGGAGGAAGUCCUAUAUUUGAUGCUUUUCUCAUAAAAUCUCCAGGUUGGAGACCUUGAUCUUUCAUGUCUUCAUCUCCUGAGAACUUGCUGUUAACAGGAUCCUUAAUUAAUUUAGAAUGUGCAGUGAGAAGCUAGGGUCUUGGCAAUAAUGAAGAAUAUCGCCUUUAAGGGGAGCUGGUUUGGAGGCUCCUUCAUCCAGGCACAGGGCCUUGCUGGUAUUAUUUCGAAGAGAGAAAGCUCAUGUUUUCCAAACAGGGCAGAACCGCAGUUCAGCACCACAGUGGAAACACCUUAGGCCAGGGAGUGUUAGAAGCUGGUUUCAGCUUUGCAGAUGGGUUUUCUAUUAUCCCACCUGUGCGUUCCACAGUCUGGAAGAUGGAGGAGGGCUGCGAGCACAAUGGGAAUGCCAAUCCCUCCAAUCCCAGCCAGCUUUCACUAUGCAAGGUAAGAUGUCCAUCAAUCUUUUUUUCUUUAUUCUUUUUUUUUUUUUUUUUUCAGAGAGAGACGAGGUUUCUUCAUGUUGUCCAGGCUGAUCUGGAACUCCUGGGCUCAAGCGACCCUCCUAUCUCGGCCUCCAAAAGUGCUGGGAUUACAGGCAUGAGGCACCAUGCCCGGCCAAUAAAUCUUUUUUUUUUUUUUUUUUUUUUUGAGACAGGGUCUCCCUCUUGUUGCUCAGGCUGGAGUGCAACGGUGUGAUCUUGGCUCACUGCAGCCUCUGCCUCCCAAGCUCAAAUAAUCCUCCUGCCUCAGCCUCCCAAGUAGAUGGGACUACAGACCUGCACCACCAUGCCUGGCUAAUUUUUGUAUUUUGUGUAGAGACAGGGUUUCACCACGUUGCGCAGGCUGGUCUCCAACUCCUGGAUUCAAGUGAUCUGUCUGCCUUGGUCUCCCAAAGUGCAUUAACUACAGUUGUAAGUCGGUAACCUCAAGUUUAGUGAAAAAACCUAGGAAGGAGUUUUAAACUGUUUAUAUCAGUAUUUUUAGAUGAAAACCAUUUCAUAAUUUUUUUUUUUUUUUUAGACAGUCUUGCUCUGUCGCCCAGGCUGGAGUGCUGUGGCACGAUCUCAGCUCACUGCAAGCUCCGCCUCCCGGGUUUACACCAUUCUCCUGCCUCAGACUCCUGAGUAGCUGGGACUACAGGCACCCGCCACCACACCUGGCUAAUUUUUUUGUAUUUUUAGUAGAGAUGGGGUUUCACUGUGUUAGCCAGGAUGGUCUCAAUCUCCUGACCUCGUGAUCUGCCCACCUCAGCCUCCCAAAGUGCUGGGAUUACAGGCGUGAGCCACCGCGGCCAGCCCAUUUAAUAACUUUUUAGGAAGAUGUUUCCUCAAUUUUUUGCUUAUUAACAGAUCUAAAUAUUUUUAACUUUUCUAUACCAUGUAAAAAUACAAUGCCAAAGUAUAUCAAUUUAAAAUUGUGUUUAAUGAUUGUUUCAGUAUUUUAACUCACUUAAAAAUAACCUCAGACAUGUUGUGGCCAGUCGCAGUGUCUCACGCCUGUAAUCCCAGCACUUUGGGAGGCCGAGGUGGGCGGAUCAUGAGGUCAGGAGUUCGAGACCAUCCUGGCCAACAUGGUGAAACCCUGUCUCUAUUAAAAAUACAAAAAUUAGCUGGGCGUGGUGGCGUGCGCCUGUAGUACCAUCUACCCAGGAGGCUGAGGCAGGAGAAUCGCUUGAACCCGGGAGGCAGAUAUUGCAGUGAGCCGAGAUCGUGCCACUACACUCCAACCUGGUGACAAAGCGAGACUGUCUCAAAAAAUAAAAUAAAAAUAAAAAAUAUCCUCAGACAUGUGAUUGAUACGGUUUGGCUCUGUGUCCCCACCCAAAUCUUAUGUUCAAUUGUGAUCCGCAUGUGUCAGGGGAGGGGCCUGGUGGGAGGUGACUGGAUCAUGGGGGUGGAUUUCCCUGUUGGUGUUCUCACAAUAGUGAGGGAGUUCUCACGAGAUCUGCUGGUUUAAAGUGUAUGGUGCUUCCCCCUUCACACUCUCUCUCUCUCUCUCUCCCCCGCUCUGCCAUGGGAAGAUGUGCCUUGCUUCCCCUUCACCUUCUGCCGUGAGUGUAAGUUUCCUGAGGCCUCCCAGUCAUGCUUCCUGUACAGCCUGCAGAACUGAGUCCAUUAAACCCCUUUUCUUCAUAAA